RNAcentral lists this ribosomal RNA (224 nucleotides) under uncultured bacterium. RNAcentral's name for it is "partial 16S ribosomal RNA". It matches the Rfam family "Bacterial small subunit ribosomal RNA", at positions 111 to 334 of the family's 1533-position model. The record is from RNAcentral.
UAACGCGUGAGGAACCUGCCUCAAAGAGGGGACAACAGUUGGAAACGACUGCUAAUACCGCAUAAGCCCACGGCUCGGCAUCGAGCAGAGGGAAAAGGAGCAAUCCGCUUUGAGAUGGCCUCGCGUCCGAUUAGCUAGUUGGUGAGGUAAUGGCCCACCAAGGCGACGAUCGGUAGCCGGACUGAGAGGUUGAACGGCCACAUUGGGACUGAGACACGGCUCAG